This is an RNA transcript of Fukomys damarensis (Damara mole-rat), 2138 nucleotides long. It is a transcript of the gene named saoe class I histocompatibility antigen, A alpha chain, with no coding region annotated. The record is from RefSeq and is a predicted model, not a curated record. NCBI's taxonomy places the organism in Eukaryota, Metazoa, Chordata, Mammalia, Rodentia, Bathyergidae. The transcript has 9 exons.
CACCGUCCAAACAACAUUUCUUUGUGGUUUCCGGAUAUCGAAUUAGCACCGGCCACACAGAAAACGCCCAACUCCGAGGACCGGGACAUGGCGCCCCGAACCCUCCUCCUGCUGCUGUCGGGGGCGCUGGUCCUGCCCGAGACCUGGGCGGGCUCCCACUCCCUGCGCUACUUCGACAUCGCGGUGUCCCGGCCCGGCCGCGGGGAGCCCCGCUUCAUGUCCGUGGGCUACGUGGACGACACGCAGUUCGUGCGCUUCGACAGCGACGCCCUGGAUCCGAGGGUGGAGCCGCGGGCGGCGUGGAUGGAGAAGGUGGAUCAGGCGUAUUGGGAUCGGGAGACAAAGAGAGCCGAGGACACGGCUGAGGCUUUCCGAGUGAACCUGCGGACACUGCGCGGCUACUACAACCAGAGCGAGGACGGCUCUCACACGCUCCAAUGGACUUCCGGCUGCGAAAUGGGGUCGAACGGCCACCUCCUCCGCGGGUAUGCUCAGUUCGCCUACGACGGUGAGGAUUACUUGUACCUGAACGAGGACCUGAACUCCUGGACCGCAAUGGACACGGCUGCUCAGAUCUCCAGGACCAAAUCCGAGGCAGCAGGAGAGACGGAGGAGCAGAGGGCCUACGUGGAGGGGGAGUGCAUGGAGUGGCUCGGCAGAUACCUGGAGGCGGGGAAGGAGACGCUGCAGCGCUCAGAGCCCCCAGAGACUCACGUGACCCGCCACCCCGUCUCCAAGGAAGAGGUCACCCUGAGGUGCUGGGCCCUGGGCUUCUACCCGGCCGAGAUCUCCCUGACCUGGCAGCGGGGUGGGCAGGACCUGACCCAGGACACAGAGCUGGUGGAGACCAGGCCUGCAGGGGAUGGAACCUUCCAGAAGUGGGCGGCUGUGGCGGUGCCUUCGGGAGAGGAGCAGCAUUACAUGUGCCGUGUGCAGCAUGAGGGGCUGCCCGAGCCCCGCACCCUGAUGUGGGAGCGGCCUCUUCCUCCCACCAUCUCCAGAGGAGUUGAAGUCGUCGUGGUCAUUGCCGCCCUCCUCGGCGUCCUGGUCAUUGUAGCUGCGGUGGCUGUUGUGAUGUGGAGGAGAAAGAGGGCCGGUAUAAAGAAAGGGAGCUACACUCAGGCUAUCUACAGUGACAGUAGCUGCAGCUCUGACUCAUCUCACAUAUCUUAAAGGUGGGGAGAGAGACGGACCAGGGGAAGCUGAGGUGGGGCUGAGCACCCCGCACCGCCCUGCCCCUCCUCCUUUCACAUGGAGGCUUCCGAUACAGACGCCUCCCACGCGGCUUUGAAUCUUCAGACACCCUUCAGUCAGCAGCCCUAGAAGCAAACCUCACAGUGUCUCCACAUACGUGAGUCACAGGGUGACAUCAGACACCCUGGAAAUACAGCACCGGAAAUGGGAGGCCCUAGGCCUCCGGUAAAGAAGCUGAAAUGCAAAGCAGGAAGUGCGUCACCGGAAAUGUGUUAGCAAGCAAGCAAACUGUGACGGGUGGAGAAGCUGCAGCACCAGGCAAGUUCCGCUUUCGGGACCCUCGCCCUGGUUCAUGCCCUGAGAAUAUUUCAAAAUCUCUAUUGCUCCAGAGCCCUCUGACUCUCAAGCCUUGCUCAAGAACUGUUUAGAAACCUCACACUGAGGCCUGGCGCGAACUCUUCCUCUGUGAUCCUCUGAUUUCUCUCCUGGCGUACCGUGCGGAAUUUGGACUCACAUGUGCAAGUGGCUUGCUCUGACCGGUCAUUCGGUGUGCCCUGUCUUCUGUGACACACACACACUCACACUCAUUCCUCACACGCUGGGAGACGGGUCCUCCUCAGCAAACAUGCAGCUCGCUGUGAAUCCCUGACUCUCCCCAGGAUCCCGCCCUCUCCAGUAUUUCUACUGGACUGUCUCUGAGCCAGGACACACAGUGCCCAGAUUUACCGCCUCUGGCUUCGUGGACAACCAGCCCUUCAUCCGCUAUGACAGUGAGGUCGUGGAGGCAAAGCCUUUGGUGCCCUGGCUGAAGGAAGACAAGAGCUACUUUGAUAAUGAGACCAAGAUCUUCGCGAGCCGCAUGAAGGUUUUCCAGUGAAGUCUGAGAAACGUGCAGAAUCACUACGAUGGCACCACGAGCACGGAGGGCCCACGGCAGCCAGCAG